UACGGGGGGGGCAAGCGUUGUUCGGAAUUACUGGGCGUAAAGGGCUCGUAGGCGGCCAUCUAAGUCGGGCAUGAAAUCUCUCGGCUCAACCGGGAGAGGUUGUCCGAUACUUCCAGACUUGAGGGCAGUAGAGGGUGGUGGAAUUCCGGGUGUAGUGGUGAAAUGCGUAGAUAUCCGGAGGAACACCAGUGGCGAAAGCGGCCACCUGGACUGCACCUGACGCUGACACGCGAAAGCUAGGGGAGCGAACGGG
Molecule: ribosomal RNA, 253 nt
Filed under: uncultured bacterium
Lineage: Bacteria
Description: partial 16S ribosomal RNA
Rfam family: Bacterial small subunit ribosomal RNA
Source: RNAcentral